UGGCCUACGGGAGGCAGCAGUGAGGAAUAUUGGUCAAUGGGCGGAAGCCUGAACCAGCCAAGUCGCGUGAGGGAUUAAGGCCCUAUGGGUCGUAAACCUCUUUUGUCAGGGAGCAAUGGCGUCCACGUGUGGGCGUAUGGAGAGUACCUGAAGAAAAAGCAUCGGCUAACUCCGUGCCAGCAGCCGCGGUAAUACGGAGGAUGCGAGCGUUAUCCGGAUUUAUUGGGUUUAAAGGGUGCGUAGGCGGAUUUUUAAGUCAGCGGUAAAAUGUCCGGGCUCAACCCGGGCCGGCCGUUGAAACUGGG
RNAcentral lists this ribosomal RNA (305 nucleotides) under uncultured bacterium. Its description in RNAcentral is "bacterial SSU rRNA". It matches the Rfam family "Bacterial small subunit ribosomal RNA", at positions 335 to 637 of the family's 1533-position model. The record is from RNAcentral.